RNAcentral lists this transfer RNA (71 nucleotides) under Camelus ferus (Wild Bactrian camel). It matches the Rfam family "tRNA". Rfam says of the family: Transfer RNA (tRNA) molecules are approximately 80 nucleotides in length. Their secondary structure includes four short double-helical elements and three loops (D, anti-codon, and T loops). Further hydrogen bonds mediate the characteristic L-shaped molecular structure. tRNAs have two regions of fundamental functional importance: the anti-codon, which is responsible for specific mRNA codon recognition, and the 3' end, to which the tRNAs corresponding amino acid is attached (by aminoacyl-tRNA synthetases). tRNAs cope with the degeneracy of the genetic code in two manners: having more than one tRNA (with a specific anti-codon) for a particular amino acid; and 'wobble' base-pairing, i.e. permitting non-standard base-pairing at the 3rd anti-codon position. Lineage: Eukaryota; Metazoa; Chordata; Mammalia; Artiodactyla; Camelidae. The record is from Rfam by way of RNAcentral.
GGGGGUACAGUUCAGGGGUAGAGUGUGUGCUUAGCAUGCAAGAGGUUCUGGGUUCGAUCCCAGUACCUCCA